GUGAAUGGUGUUGAUUGUUGAACUGAAAGCUUGAUUUGGUCCGGUGGAGGGUGGCUUUGUGUAGAAUGGGGAGGUGGGAGAAGAAGAACUCUGAAGGGGCAGAAUGCUGGAGCUAGUAGGCAAGCUAGCACCCAUGGAUUCGUGAACUGGCUUGGAUGUGUACUUGGUUGCCAGGGUUGGAUGAGGACGACGGCUACAAGGUAAUCCUUUUCCCUGCCAUGUUCAGGUGCAUCACUCUGAUGCCCAUGAAGGGUGAGAUCUUGGUCGACACUAUGGAGAAGACCGUGAAGCCUGGUGUGUUCCUCAAAUCGGGACUGAUAGAAACCGAAGGGCCACUCGAAGCUGUCAAAGGGAACUUGUAGAUCUUGUGGUUGUGAUUACACUUGUAGAGACUUGUAGAGCUUGUGGCCGUGAUUACCAUUGUAUCUAAGUUAUAUGAUGUAACAAACUUAUUUUGGCUGUGAUUACCAUUGUAUUAUUUGUGCU
Non-coding RNA from Triticum urartu, 486 nucleotides. The record is from RefSeq and is a predicted model, not a curated record. NCBI's taxonomy places the organism in Eukaryota, Viridiplantae, Streptophyta, Magnoliopsida, Poales, Poaceae.